GGUAAAAUGGCUGAAAUUUUAAGCAAUAAAUUGUAAAUUUAUUAAUGAAUAUAAAAUUCUUUUACUA
RNAcentral lists this transfer RNA (67 nucleotides) under Ixodes rubicundus. RNAcentral describes it as "tRNA-Tyr". It matches the Rfam family "tRNA". Rfam says of the family: Transfer RNA (tRNA) molecules are approximately 80 nucleotides in length. Their secondary structure includes four short double-helical elements and three loops (D, anti-codon, and T loops). The record is from RNAcentral. Lineage: Eukaryota; Metazoa; Arthropoda; Arachnida; Ixodida; Ixodidae.